CCUACGGGAGGCAGCAGUGGGGAAUAUUGGGCAAUGGAGGCAACUCUGACCCAGCAAUGCCGCGUGAAUGAUGAAGGUCUUCGGAUUGUAAAGUUCUGUGAUGGGGGAUGAACACAAUGACGGUACCCCAAUAGCAAGCCACGGCUAACUACGUGCCAGCAGCCGCGGUAAUACGUAGGUGGCAAGCGUUAACCGGAAUGACUGGGCGUAAAGGGUGCGUAGGUGGUUUAGUAAGUUGGCGGUGUAAUUCCGGGGCUCAACCUCGGCGCUACCGCCAAAACUAUUAGACUAGAGUGUAGGAGGGGUAAGUGGAAUUCCUAGUGUAGCGGUGGAAUGCGUAGAGAUUAGGAGGAACAUCAGGGGCGAAGGCGACUUACUGGACUGUAACUGACACUGAGGUACGAAAGCGUGGGGAGCAAACAGGAUUAGAUACCCUGGUAGUC
This 443-nucleotide ribosomal RNA is filed under the name uncultured bacterium. Its description in RNAcentral is "partial 16S ribosomal RNA". It matches the Rfam family "Bacterial small subunit ribosomal RNA", at positions 338 to 795 of the family's 1533-position model. The record is from RNAcentral.